CCAGACUCCUACGGGAGGCAGCAGUGAGGAAUAUUGGUCAAUGGCCGAGAGGCUGAACCAGCCAAGUCGCGUGAGGGAAGACGGCCCUACGGGUUGUAAACCUCUUUUGUCGGGGAGCAAAGCGAACCACGUGUGGUUCAUUGAGAGUACCCGAAGAAAAAGCAUCGGCUAACUCCGUGCCAGCAGCCGCGGUAAUACGUAGGGAGCGAGCGUUAUCCGGAAUUAUUGGGUGUAAAGGGUGCGUAGACGGGAAAGCAAGUUAGUUGUGAAAUCCCUCGGCUUAACUGAGGAACUGCAACUAAAACUACUUUUCUUGAGUGCAGGAGAGGUAAGUGGAAUUCCUAGUGUAGCGGUGAAAUGCGUAGAUAUUAGGAGGAACACCAGUGGCGAAUGCGACUUACUGGACUGUAACUGACGUUGAGGCACGAAAGUGUGGGGAGCAAACAGGAUUAGAUACCCCAGUAA
Molecule: ribosomal RNA, 465 nt
Filed under: uncultured bacterium
Lineage: Bacteria
Description: bacterial SSU rRNA
Rfam family: Bacterial small subunit ribosomal RNA
Source: RNAcentral